This 301-nucleotide ribosomal RNA is filed under the name uncultured bacterium. RNAcentral's name for it is "partial 16S ribosomal RNA". It matches the Rfam family "Bacterial small subunit ribosomal RNA", at positions 509 to 807 of the family's 1533-position model. The record is from RNAcentral.
CAGUCGCCGAGGUAAUACGAAGGGUGCAAGCGUUAAUCGGAAUUACUGGGCGUAAAGCGUGCGUAGGCGGUUUGUUAAGUCUGUUGUGAAAUCCCCGGGCUCAACCUGGGAAUGGCAAUGGAUACUGGCUCGCUAGAGUGUGUCAGAGGAUGGUGGAAUUCCCGGUGUAGCGGUGAAAUGCGUAGAGAUCGGGAGGAACAUCAGUGGCGAAGGCGGCCAUCUGGGACAACACUGACGCUGAGGCACGAAAGCGUGGGGAGCAAACAGGAUUAGAUACCCCCGUAGUCCCUGUCUCUUAUAC